RNAcentral lists this long non-coding RNA (1537 nucleotides) under Piliocolobus tephrosceles (Ugandan red Colobus). RNAcentral describes it as "lncRNA (ENSPTEG00000015326.1)". The record is from RNAcentral. Lineage: Eukaryota; Metazoa; Chordata; Mammalia; Primates; Cercopithecidae.
GGUAAGAAAGCCCAGGAGAGCCCACCAGAGGAGCUGGGGGUGGGUUCCUGCCUGCAGGGGGUCUGGGACACCCCAUUCCCGCAGACGAGGACCCAUGUUUUGGGGAGGAAGCUGUCAGAGUCACCAGUGAGCUGUUCAGAGCUGGAGCCACUGAGCAGGAGGAGGGGGCACCCAGAAGGGGCCCUGAAGUCAAGGGCAUCGUCCAACCUUUCUACCUCCCCAGCUGAAGACAGGCUGGAGGACAAUUCUCCAGAGUUUCAUAACAAAGAAGAGAAAAAAGAAAUCAAAAAGACCUGGAGGAUAGGGAGUGUGACCACUGUAUGUCAGCCACUGGGGGACAGGCUUCAGCUUACAACCACCUUCCAAAUUCCACCCUCUCACCUUGGCAGAAGCUGGCCAGGAAUUGGGGCCAAUGGAUGGGUGGGGUCUGCACAGGACACCGUAUUCAGGUCCCCAUGACGGCCUCACACAAAGGUGGUGGCCCUGCAGUUCCAGGUGCCACACAAAUGCCAGCCCCUGCUUGGGCCCUGAUCUUUGAGGAAGGGGAGCAGCAGAACCCGGGCACUGACCCCACAGUGCUACUCACACCCACAGACGAUUCUCCACAGAGGCAUCAGGUCUCGGUCCUGGCCACCUCCUCCUGCAGGGCCUCAGCUGUUUCCUGGGACUCACGUGGUCCUUCCUCACAUGCAGCUCUGGUGCUAGUUCUGGCAAAGCCAGUCACCUGCCCAGGGCAGAGAGUAGCCUGAAGCUGAUGCUACGGAGAGACUGGGGCCUUCAGUCCAACAGCCUGCAAGCAAUAGAAUUCUGCCAGCAACACAGAAGCGAGCGUGGAAGCAGCUCCUCCCCUGAUGAGCCUGAGCCUUCAGAAGACAUGGCAGCCCUGAGCAGACACUUGCUGCAGCCGCGGAGAGCCCCUGGGGCAGAGGGCCCAGUGAAGCCUGCACUCCUGGGCCAAGGAGUAAGCAUUCCUGUGGUAUAACUGUGUGCUGGUGUGGGCCACAGUUUGGAGUCAUCUGUCAGGGGACGAUAAAGAACAAACACACGCCUCAGGUCCUACUGGGUAGAAGCUGUAGGGUCAGCACGGCAUGUAAUAUCUGUCAGGCCUCUGAGCCCAAGCCAAGCCAUAGCAUCCCCUGUGACUUGCAAAUAUACACCCAGAUGGCCUGAAGUAACUGAAGAAUCACAAAAGAAUUGUAAAUGCUCUGCCUCGCCUUAACUGAUGACAUUCCACCACAAAAGAUGUGUAAAUGACAUUCCACCACAAAAGAUAUGUAAAUGACUGGUCCUUGCCUUAAGCGAUCAUAGAUUCUUGUGAAAUUCCUUUUCCUGGCUCAUUCUGGCUCAAAAAGCUCCCCCACUGAGCACCUUGUGACCUCCACUCCGGCCCGCCAGAGAACAACCCCCCUUUGACUGUAAUUUUCCUUUACCUACCCAAAUGCUAUAAAACAGCCCCACCCUUAUCUCUCUUUGCUGACUGUCUUUUGGGACUCAACCCACUUGCACGCAGGUGAAAUAAACAACCAUGUUGCUCACA